Molecule: ribosomal RNA, 686 nt
Filed under: uncultured Trichococcus sp.
Lineage: Bacteria; Bacillati; Bacillota; Bacilli; Lactobacillales; Carnobacteriaceae
Description: bacterial SSU rRNA
Rfam family: Bacterial small subunit ribosomal RNA
Source: RNAcentral
CCGUAAACGAUGRKGCUAAGUGUGGAGGGUUUCACCKUCAGKGCUGCAGCUAACGCAUAGCAYCGCUGGGGAGUACGGCCGCAAGGCUGAACUCAAAGGAAUUGACGGGACCGCACAAGCGGUGGAGCAUGKGUUUAAUUCGAAGCAACGCGAAGACCUUACCAGGUCUGACAUCCUUGACAAUCCUAGAGAUAGGACUUUCCCUUCGGGGACAAAGUGACAGGUGGUGCAUGGUUKUCGUCAGCUCGUGUCGUGAGAUGUUGGGUUAAGUCCCGCAACGAGCGCAACCCCUAUUGUUAGUUGCCAGCAUUCAGUUGGGCACUCUAAUGAGACUGCCGGUGACAAACCGGAGGAAGGUGGGGAUGACGUCAAAUCAUCAUGCCCCUUAUGACCUGGGCUACACACGUGCUACAAUGGAUGGUACAACGAGCAGCAAGACCGCGAGGUCAAGCGAAUCUCUUAAAGCCAUUCUCAGUUCGGAUUGCAGGCUGCAACUCGCCUGCAUGAAGCCGGAAUCGCUAGUAAUCGCGGAUCAGCACGCCGCGGUGAAUACGUUCCCGGGUCUUGUACACACCGCCCGUCACACCACGAGAGUUUGUAACACCCGAAGUCGGUGAGGUAACCUUUUUGGAGCCAGCCGCCUAAGGUGGGACAGAUGAUUGGGGUGAAGUCGUAACAAGGUAACC